AGAGUUUGAUCCUGGCUCAGGAUGAACGCUAGCUACAGGCUUAACACAUGCAAGUCGAGGGGCAGCAUCAUCAAAGCUUGCUUUGAUGGAUGGCGACCGGCGCACGGGUGAGUAACACGUAUCCAACCUGCCGACAACACUGGGAUAGCCUUUCGAAAGAAAGAUUAAUACCGGAUGGCAUAGUUUUCCCGCAUGGGAUAAUUAUUAAAGAAUUUCGGUUGUCGAUGGGGAUGCGUUCCAUUAGGCAGUUGGCGGGGUAACGGCCCACCAAACCAACGAUGGAUAGGGGUUUUGAGAGGAAGGUCCCCCACAUUGGAACUGAGACACGGUCCAAACUCCUACGGGAGGCAGCAGUGAGGAAUAUUGGUCAAUGGACGAGAGUCUGAACCAGCCAAGUAGCGUGAAGGAUGACUGCCCUAUGGGUUGUAAACUUCUUUUAUACGGGAAUAAAGUUAGCCACGUGUGGCUUUUUGUAUGUACCGUAUGAAUAAGGAUCGGCUAACUCCGUGCCAGCAGCCGCGGUAAUACGGAGGAUCCGAGCGUUAUCCGGAUUUAUUGGGUUUAAAGGGAGCGUAGGCGGGUUGUUAAGUCAGUUGUGAAAGCUUGCGGCUCAACCGUAAAAUUGCAGUUGAUACUGGGCGACCUUGAGUGCAACAGAGGUAGGCGGAAUUCGUGGUGUAGCGGGUGAAAAUGCUUAGAUAUCACGAAGAACUCCGAUUGCGAAGGCAGCUUACUGGAUUGUAACUGACGCUGAUGCUCGAAAGUGUGGGUAUCAAACAGGAUUAGAUACCCUGGUAGUCCACACAGUAAACGAUGAAUACUCGCUGUUGGCGAUAUACAGUCAGCGGCCAAGCGAAAGCAUUAAGUAUUCCACCUGGGGAGUACGCCGGCAACGGUGAAACUCAAAGGAAUUGACGGGGGCCCGCACAAGCGGAGGAACAUGUGGUUUAAUUCGAUGAUACGCGAGGAACCUUACCCGGGCUUAAAUUGCAACUGACUGAACCGGAAACGGUUCUUUCUUCGGACAGUUGUGAAGGUGCUGCAUGGUUGUCGUCAGCUCGUGCCGUGAGGUGUCGGCUUAAGUGCCAUAACGAGCGCAACCCUUAUCGAUAGUUACUAGCAGGUCAUGCUGAGGACUCUAUCGAGACUGCCGUCGUAAGAUGUGAGGAAGGUGGGGAUGACGUCAAAUCAGCACGGCCCUUACGUCCGGGGCUACACACGUGUUACAAUGGGGGGUACAGAAGGCAGCUACACGGCGACGUGGUGCUAAUCCCGAAAGCCUCUCUCAGUUCGGAUUGGAGUCUGCAACCCGACUCCAUGAAGCUGGAUUCGCUAGUAAUCGCGCAUCAGCCACGGCGCGGUGAAUACGUUCCCGGGCCUUGCACACACCGCCCGUCA
Molecule: ribosomal RNA, 1398 nt
Filed under: uncultured bacterium
Lineage: Bacteria
Description: 16S ribosomal RNA
Rfam family: Bacterial small subunit ribosomal RNA
Source: RNAcentral